CGGAAGGAUCAUUAAAUAAUCAAUAAUCUUGGCUUGUCCAUUAUUAUCUAUUUACUGUGAACUGUAUUAUUAUUUGACGUUUGAGGGAUGUUCCAAUGUUAUAAGGAUAGACAUUGGAGAUGUUAACCGAGUCAUAAUCAGGUUUAGGCCUGGUAUCCUAUUAUUAUUUACCAAAUGAAUUCAGAAUUAAUAUUGUAACAUAGACCUAAAAAAUCUAUAAAACAACUUUUAACAACGGAUCUCUUGGUUCUCGCAUCGAUGAAGAACGUAGCAAAGUGCGAUAACUAGUGUGAAUUGCAUAUUCAGUGAAUCAUCGAGUCUUUGAACGCAACUUGCGCUCAUUGGUAUUCCAAUGAGCACGCCUGUUUCAGUAUCAAAACAAACCCUCUAUCCAACUUUUGUUGUAUAGGAUUAUUGGGGGCCUCUCGAUCUGUAUAGAUCUUGAAACCCUUGAAAUUUACUAAGGCCUGAACUUGUUUAAUGCCUGAACUUUUUUUUAAUAUAAAGGAAAGCUCUUGUAAUUGACUUUGAUGGGGCCUCCCAAAUAAAUCUUUUUUAAAUUUGAUCUGAAAUCAGGUGGGAUUACCCGCUGAACUUAAGCAUAU
RNAcentral lists this ribosomal RNA (605 nucleotides) under Mucor circinelloides. RNAcentral describes it as "eukaryotic LSU rRNA". The stretch from base 224 to 376 matches the Rfam family "5.8S ribosomal RNA". The record is from RNAcentral. Lineage: Eukaryota; Fungi; Mucoromycota; Mucoromycetes; Mucorales; Mucoraceae.